Molecule: transfer RNA, 73 nt
Filed under: Hirsutella thompsonii
Lineage: Eukaryota; Fungi; Ascomycota; Sordariomycetes; Hypocreales; Ophiocordycipitaceae
Description: tRNA-Pro
Source: RNAcentral
CGGGCUAUGACAGAGUGGUUAUUGUGCUUUCCUUGGGCGAAGGUUUUCCUAUGUUCAAAUCAUAGUGGCCCGA